UCGGGAAUUUUGGGCAAUGGGCGAAAGCCUGACCUAGCAACGCCGCGUGAAGGAUGAAGUAUUUCGGUAUGUAAACUUCGAAAGAAUAGGAAGAAUAAAUGACGGUACUAUUUAUAAGGUCCGGCUAACUACGUGCCAGCAGCCGCGGUAAUACGUAGGGACCAAGCGUUGUUCGGAUUUACUGGGCGUAAAGGGCGCGUAGGCGGCAAUUCAAGUCAUCUGUGAAAUCUCCGGGCUUAACUUGGAACGGUCAGAUGAUACUGCUUUGCUAGAGUGCGGAAGGGGCAAUCGGAAUUCUUGGUGUAGCGGUUGAAAUGCGUAGAUAUCAAGAGGAACACCUGAGGUGAAGACGGGUUGCUGGGCUGACACUGACGCUGAGGCGCGAAAGCCAGGGGAGCAAACGGGAUUAGAUACCCUAGUAGUCCCUGAGCGGGCUGGCAAGGCGCAU
This 448-nucleotide ribosomal RNA is filed under the name uncultured bacterium. Its description in RNAcentral is "bacterial SSU rRNA". It matches the Rfam family "Bacterial small subunit ribosomal RNA", at positions 355 to 825 of the family's 1533-position model. The record is from RNAcentral.